Molecule: ribosomal RNA, 433 nt
Filed under: uncultured bacterium
Lineage: Bacteria
Description: partial 16S ribosomal RNA
Rfam family: Bacterial small subunit ribosomal RNA
Source: RNAcentral
AACGAACGCUGGCGGCAUGCCUAACACAUGCAAGUCGAACGAGACCUUCGGGUCUAGUGGCGCACGGGUGCGUAACGCGUGGGAAUCUGCCCUUGGGUUCGGAAUAACAGUUGGAAACGACUGCUAAUACCGGAUGAUGACGUAAGUCCAAGGAUUUAUCGCCCAGGGAUGAGCCCGCGUAGGUUUAGCUAGUUGGUGGGGUAAAGGCCUACCAAGGCGACGAUCCUUAGCUGGUCUGAGAGGAUGAUCAGCCACACUGGGACUGAGACACGGCCCAGACUCCUACGGGAGGCAGCAGUGGGGAAUAUUGGACAAUGGGCGAAAGCCUGAUCCAGCAAUGCCGCGUGAGUGAUGAAGGCCUUAGGGUUGUAAAGCUCUUUUACCCGGGAUGAUAAUGACAGUACCGGGAGAAUAAGCCCCGGCUAACUCCGUG